UGCAGACUUAAAUUGAGAUUA
RNAcentral lists this non-coding RNA (21 nucleotides) under Caenorhabditis elegans. The record is from RNAcentral. Lineage: Eukaryota; Metazoa; Nematoda; Chromadorea; Rhabditida; Rhabditidae.